CCUACGGGUGGCAGCAGUCGAGAAUCAUUCACAAUGGGGGAAACCCUGAUGGUGCGACGCCGCGUGGGGGAAUGAAGGUCUUCGGAUUGUAAACCCCUGUCAUGUGGGAGCAAAUUAAAACGAUCGUACCACAAGAGGAAGAGACGGCUAACUCUGUGCCAGCAGCCGCGGUAAUACAGAGGUCUCAAGCGUUGUUCGGAAUCACUGGGCGUAAGGCGUGCGUAGGCUGUUUCGUAAGUCGUGUGUGAAAGGCGCGGGCUCAACCCGCGGACGGCACAUGAUACUGCGAGACUAGAGUAAUGGAGGGGGAACCGGAAUUCUCGGUGUAGCAGUGAAAUGCGUAGAUAUCGAGAGGAACACUCGUGGCGAAGGCGGGUUCCUGGACAUUAACUGACGCUGAGGCACGAAGGCCAGGGGAGCGAAAGGGAUUAGAUACCCUUGUAGUC
Molecule: ribosomal RNA, 446 nt
Filed under: uncultured bacterium
Lineage: Bacteria
Description: partial 16S ribosomal RNA
Rfam family: Bacterial small subunit ribosomal RNA
Source: RNAcentral